AAUGAACGCUGGCGGCGCGCCUAAUACAUGCAAGUCGAGCGAGAAGACGUAGCAAUACGUUUGUAAAGCGGCGAACGGGUGAGGAAUACAUGGGUAACCUACCCUCGAGUGGGGAAUAACUAGCCGAAAGGUUAGCUAAUACCGCGUACGCUUCUUGGACUUCGGUUCAGGGAGGAAAGCGAUGCCGAGGGUAUCGCGCUCUUGGAUGGGCUCAUGUCCUAUCAGCUUGNGGUGAGGUAACGGCUCACCAAGGCUUCGACGGGUAGCUGGUCUGAGAGGACGAUCAGCCACACUGGCACUGCGACACGGGCCAGACUCCUACGGGAGGCAGCAGUAAGGAAUAUUGCGCAAUGGGCGAAAAGCCUGACGCAGCGACGCCGCGUGGGGGAUGAAGGUCUUCGGAUUGUAAACUCCUGUUGCUCGGGACGAAAAGCUUCGACCUAACACGUCGAAGUCUGACGGUACCGGGUGAGGAAGCCCCGGCUAACUCUGUGCCAGCA
Molecule: ribosomal RNA, 500 nt
Filed under: uncultured bacterium
Lineage: Bacteria
Description: bacterial SSU rRNA
Rfam family: Bacterial small subunit ribosomal RNA
Source: RNAcentral